This 69-nucleotide transfer RNA is filed under the name Rattus norvegicus (Norway rat). It matches the Rfam family "tRNA". Rfam says of the family: Transfer RNA (tRNA) molecules are approximately 80 nucleotides in length. Their secondary structure includes four short double-helical elements and three loops (D, anti-codon, and T loops). Lineage: Eukaryota; Metazoa; Chordata; Mammalia; Rodentia; Muridae. The record is from Rfam by way of RNAcentral.
GGGGAUUUAGCUCAGUUGUAGAGCGCUUGCCUAGGAAGCGCAAGGCCCUGGGUUCAAUCCCCAGCUCCG